Molecule: long non-coding RNA, 400 nt
Filed under: Mytilus galloprovincialis (Mediterranean mussel)
Lineage: Eukaryota; Metazoa; Mollusca; Bivalvia; Mytilida; Mytilidae
Source: RNAcentral
AAGGACCUCAAAUCUAAAGACCCUAUGUCUUUAUCACUUAUGGUUUACCAUUUAGAAAUGCAUAUCACUUAAUUAAAUGAAAAGGGGAAUAACUCUCAUAUGGAGUCUCCGUAAAGCUUCGGUCCAAAUGAAUAUCCUAAUCCUGAAGAUGUAACGAGCAAUUUGGUAAAAUAAAUUUGUCGUAAUCUUUAACGGUUGCGAAGGAGUAGUGGCCACAAGAAAAACAGUGUUUGGGGAGAUAACUCUUACAACGUAAAGUAUUUUGUUACGCAGUUGUAAAUUUUUAAAGCGUAUAAACUAUACGAUAUCAUAUUCCAAAUAUCUAAGCGACAUCUUUUGAAACAUCAAUACUACGCAAGAAAAAAAUUAGGCGGAAGAAAAAAAAAAAAAAAUAAUAAAA